GAGUCUGGCCAUACCACCCUGAAUGAGCCCAAUCUCGCCUGCUCUCGGAAGCUAAGCAGGGUGGGGCCUGGUUAGUACUCAGGUGGAAAAAAGAGAAUCAGGCAGACAUAUGUC
Molecule: ribosomal RNA, 114 nt
Organism: Gorilla gorilla gorilla (western lowland gorilla)
Lineage: Eukaryota; Metazoa; Chordata; Mammalia; Primates; Hominidae
Source: Ensembl